GUAAAGUUACUCCAUUUGUGACCUAGAGGUUAUAGCUUCAAGCCACGGAAACAGCGUCUCUGCAAAGUUGGGGCUAGGCUGCUGUGAUACAUAAUCACAGGUAGUCCUUUCCUUUGAACUCCAUCCAUGUUGAGGGUGUGAUUCUACCCAAGACUCUGGCAUAUUGCUUAGAGAUUUAUUUGCAAAAGAGCUUGCAAAUAACUUCCUUUUGAAUUAGUUUUAAAUAAUGCUAUAUGAAAAUUGCUUGUUUCUUGACAAAAUGUAGCAAGUCAACAUUAUGAAUAUAGGGUUCUUUGCUUUUCCAUUUCCAAAUUUUUCUGUUAGAGGUGUAAGGCUAAUUUAACAUGCACCCUUGAUACUUAUCUUCAUGUUUAUCUUUCAAAGAAAAAUGAGUUGUGAUUUUGGGUCUACAUUUAAUUUGCUUUGAAUAACACAUUCAUGUAGAUUUUUAUAUUAAAUCAUUGUACUUUUUUUCUAUCAAAUAGGUAUAUAUUGUGUACAGCUUUUU
RNAcentral lists this unclassified non-coding RNA (508 nucleotides) under Hevea brasiliensis (rubber tree). Lineage: Eukaryota; Viridiplantae; Streptophyta; Magnoliopsida; Malpighiales; Euphorbiaceae. The record is from RNAcentral.